GAUGAACGCUGGCGGCGUGCCUAAUACAUGCAAGUCGAGCGAACAGACGAGGAGCUUGAUCCUCUGACGUUAGCGGCGGACGGGUGAGUAACACGUGGAUAACCUACCUAUAAGACUGGGAUAACUCUGGGAAACCGGAGCUAAUACCGGAUAAAAUAUAGAACAGCAAGGUUCAAUAGUGAAAGAGGGUUUUGAUGUCAAUUAUGGAUGGAACGGCGCCGCAUUAGCAAGUUGGAAAGGUAACGGCUUACCAAGACGACGAUGAGUAGCCGACCUGAGAGGGUGAUCGGCCACACUGGAACUGAGACACGGUGCAGACUCCUACGGGAGGCAGCAGUAGGGAAUCUUCCGCAAUGGGCGAAGGCCUGACGGAGCAACGCCGCGUGAGUCAUGAAGGUCUUCGGAUCGUAAAACUCUGUUAUUAGGGAAGAACAAAUGUGUAAGUAACUAUGCACGUCUUGACGGUACCUAAUCAGAAAGCCACGGCUAACUACGUG
Molecule: ribosomal RNA, 497 nt
Filed under: uncultured bacterium
Lineage: Bacteria
Description: partial 16S ribosomal RNA
Rfam family: Bacterial small subunit ribosomal RNA
Source: RNAcentral